This 1361-nucleotide long non-coding RNA is filed under the name Bos indicus x Bos taurus (hybrid cattle). RNAcentral's name for it is "lncRNA (ENSBIXG00000010395.1)". Lineage: Eukaryota; Metazoa; Chordata; Mammalia; Artiodactyla; Bovidae. The record is from RNAcentral.
UGAGCUGCACGCAGUUGAUGGUUAAGAAGAGCUUGGCUAAUUCAGUCAGCUUGGUUCUCUCUGCCCUGCUCUGACUGACAGGCCAGGCCCCUGCUCAUCCCUGAAAACUAGCAUCAGGGAAUGACAUACAGUUUGAUAACAUAAGAUGCUUAGGUUUUUUGGCUCAAGUGAGAUGUUCAGAGCUAAUAGCCCUGUGAGCUGAGUUUUAGCUGCGAUCUGCACCUUGAGAUAUCCGUUAUGUCUGGCUCAGGAAAAAGGGGAAAGAAUGAGAGCUUAUUUCUAGAAAGGUUUCCGAUGAGCAGCAUUUGUCAUUGAAGGGGAAGAUGGGUAUAAUUAGCUUGUCAGUCUAGUUUGGGCUGAGCAGGCUGUCUCUGCUAAGAAAGAUGGACUAACUGCCAGAGCCACUGACAGGCAGUCGAUAGCGCAGCAAUUAAUGUCAUAAAUAAUUCCAGAACCAAUUACAUCAAAAUGGACUCGGAGCUUUAAAAAGCAACAGAAACAUGAGGUCGGUCCAGCCUGGGGCAGUUUCUCUCCAAGAGAAGAUGGAGGAAGCACAGCUAAGUGACUGGAAAUUGGACAUGCCUUCAUGUCAAGAGAUACCUGUACCUCUUGGAAACAACAAGCCCUUUGUGGUACCUCAGUGGGAUCAUCAGUGGGGCAUGGCCCUCUCUUGGACAACGUUCUCAUGCUGCUUUGCAAAGAGAAUAUAUAACAGGAUUUGUACAGGUAAGAAAAUUUGAAAUAUGUUUACUAUUUUUAAGAACAUUCUUUAAAGAGCUACAUGUUGCCAGGGAGAAAAUAUACGGAACUGUAAAUAUCAUUGAGUUACUCUACAUAUAUCUUUUGGGAUUUUAAUACCACAGCUUCACAAAUUCGUGUAGAAUUGCAAUUUGGGGGGGGGGUGGUGAAUUUUGGUGGGACGGUGAUUAUGUAUCUCAUACAAAGACCAGAAUAGACUGUUACGAUUUUCUACUUUGCAAAUAUACAAAGCUGCAAUAUGGGAAAACACUUAAAUGGGAUCUUGAAGCAAAUCCAGAAACAGGCCAUUGUGCAUAGACAUUAACAGGGAUGGUGCUGUGGGAUGUACAUUUGUGCUGAGUAAGAACAAGUUCAAGGUUACAAAGUCUAAGCUCCUUGUUAGGUCAUAUUGCUCAGAAAGUUUGUAGUGUCUCAUGGCUCUCUAAACCCCGCAGGCAAAUCUAGCUCUUGAACCAGAGAACCAUCUACUUAAAUGUACUCAUUUCCUGUGCAGAUAUUCAUAGAUGUGGUUAGAGCCUCUUGGAUUGCUGUAGCUGCUGGAACACCAAAACUAUAGGAGAAUUUUUAUCCAAAUAAAUAUAUAAAGACUGACUGUGGUUGCA